UUAUUUCUCUUCAUCUCUAUCCCCCUGAAUCUCACUAGUUGUGGUGCACUUUCCCUUUUGCGAACAAAAAUCUUAUUUGUUGGCCAAACCACCACGUCCUUCACUGUCUCUGCUAUCGGGUUAGAUUAACGUCUCUCUCCUAGUCGUUGAAAUCGAUCUGUUGGGAGAAGCUGAGCAAGUCACUGAUAUUGGUCAAUCACUGCCACUGCUACGGGGUUCGAUUAACGUCUCUUGCUUAGCCACAGGUAUCGAUCUGCUGAGAGAAGCUGCGAAACUCUCUGUUACUGGGUGGGAGUAGAUGAUGCAUAGGAAAGUUUAUAUUGUAUUUGAGGGUUACAAGCAAGGAAUAUACCAGACUUAGGCGGAAUGCAGCCCCCAAGUGACCAGGGAACGAAGAUUUUCAGAAGGGAAUUAUUUCCAUGAAGUCACUGAAUCUUUGGGGAAGGGCCGUAGAUGUCUGGAAGUGUGUCAUUCCGAAGCAGAUAAAACCCCUAAACGUGUUGGGUUGGGGCAGGUCUCCCUGUUUCAUGUCUUGUUUUAUGUAUCUGUUGGAAUCAUUAUUAGGUAUUAUAUUCCCCACUGAGACAUGUAUGUACUGCAUGAUAAAUUACCCGUUAAUGAAUGAGUAUCUUAUGUAAAUGAGUUUUGUGCUCUCAUAUUU
Macadamia integrifolia is the source of this 661-nucleotide long non-coding RNA. RefSeq lists it as uncharacterized. The record is from RefSeq and is a predicted model, not a curated record. The transcript is spliced from 4 exons. Lineage: Eukaryota; Viridiplantae; Streptophyta; Magnoliopsida; Proteales; Proteaceae.